GGGCCCGCACAAGCGGCGGAGCAUGCGGAUUAAUUCGAUGCAACGCGAAGAACCUUACCAAGGCUUGACAUAUAGAGGAAAAGUGCAGAAAUGCACUCCCCGCAAGGUCUCUAUACAGGUGGUGCAUGGUUGUCGUCAGCUCGUGUCGUGAGAUGUUGGGUUAAGUCCCGCAACGAGCGCAACCCUCGUCCUAUGUUGCCAGCACGUAAUGGUGGGAACUCAUGGGAUACUGCCGGGGUCAACUCGGAGGAAGGUGGGGAUGACGUCAAAUCAUCAUGCCCCUUAUGUCUUGGGCUUCACGCAUGCUACAAUGGCCGGUACAGAGGGCUGCAAUACCGCAAGGUGGAGCGAAUCCCAAAAAGCCGGUCUCAGUUCGGAUUGAGGUCUGCAACUCGACCUCAUGAAGUCGGAGUC
RNAcentral lists this ribosomal RNA (414 nucleotides) under uncultured bacterium. RNAcentral describes it as "bacterial SSU rRNA". It matches the Rfam family "Bacterial small subunit ribosomal RNA", at positions 917 to 1333 of the family's 1533-position model. The record is from RNAcentral.